Long non-coding RNA from Molossus molossus (Pallas's mastiff bat), 1599 nucleotides. RefSeq lists it as uncharacterized. NCBI's taxonomy places the organism in Eukaryota, Metazoa, Chordata, Mammalia, Chiroptera, Molossidae. The record is from RefSeq and is a predicted model, not a curated record. The transcript is spliced from 6 exons.
ACCCCUCUGUCAGUUGAUUGGAGAGAGUGGAUGUCCAUCAGGGUCACGCUCCGCGGCAAAGAGCGGCGAAACGCGAAGGAGACGGCUUUCCGCCGGAGGGUAGACCAGCCGGCUGCGACAGCCCGGGUGCCUGGGAAAAGCACUGGGCGGGGUUUCGCGGUUCCGUGGAACGCCGGGAAGGGGUCACUCCCAGAUGAAAGUUCCGGUUCCGGUAUAGGUGGUGGUUGAGUUGCCACGGCAACGCGGUUGGCGGGAGCCGGGUUCCUGCGUUACAGGCGGUCGCUGGGCGGGAGGAGGCCUGGUGCAUCUUUCUCAGCUUAGAUUCGUUGAUUCUAGGUAAAUCCAAGGAACAAGCAUCAAGAACAGAAGUAUCCAGGAAAUGGCGUGAUGCAGAAGGAGAACCGUUGUUUCAGAAGUCCAGCAUGUGGUACACUUAACAGUAGAGAAUGCAUUAUUUCCAAAACCACCUAACUUUUACUCCUGCUUAUGUUAUAGUCAAGGGAGAAGGAUUUACAAACUGGUGUUCUGAGGAUCUGGAGACAUAGAGCAGUAAUGACAUCCCUUACCUAGAGUGUAACAUUGGCCUCGGAAGCAUAGUUUUCCCAGUUGUCAGGUAUUUUAUUAAGUUGAGCAUUCAGCUGUCAUUAAAGAUUAGGAGUAAUCCUUGCUCAGGAAGAAGACAAAGCCUGUAUUUAGUAGAGUUGCUGCACUCAGUAUGACAAGACCAUACGUGAAAUAGACAGCUGUUUUUAUAAAUACUCCUGGCCAUGGGAGUGGCCUGAGUUUUGCUAAUCGCUGUUUCCCACACCAGUGGGCUCAGCCUAAGACAGGAAGGAAGGCCUUGCUACAGCCCUCACCGGUCAUAGGUCCGGCUCUCCUCCCUGUAAAGUCUUUGCAUUGAGGCCCAACUCCAGACCUCUGCUGGACUUUGUUCUGUUGAGAAUCUCAUUUUAUUCUGAGGAAAAUAGCCCAAGUCGUAUCUCCUAUAAGCAGAUGGUUUCCGUAACUCAAAGUUACCAUCCAGCAGCUUCUGAGAAAGUGCCCGGACCACAGAGUACAGAAAGCAAGGAGUCAGUGCUGUCGUGGGUGAAACCUAUUAGGAAGAUUUAUCUGUUAGCAGAAGUUUAUGGCCCCUUCUGAUAGUCACUGAGUUUGCAGCCAAACACUUGGACAAUUUUAUUAUUUUCUUUGAAUGAUUGCUAAGAUGUAUUGCCAAGGCCUUAAAUACUCUAUGAUGAGUCAGAGUCCCACUCGGUGCUUCCACCUUUGAGCCUUAGUAAUUUACUGCCUUCAAAAUUAAACCUGGCUGCCGUGGGAAUCCCUUGCUCCAGCCUCCUGCCCCAGCUCACCUAGCGAAGGGGGAGAAGCCGCCGCUUCAGGGAGGGGAGGGAGGUUGGAAAUGGGGUGAGACGUAAGCUGUUCAUUUUCUUUUACAGGAAAAAAAUGGGAGGAUUUUAAAUACUUUUCUGCUCUUAUGGCCUGAAAAAUUCCAUUUGUUAAUUUUAACUUUAAACUUUUUGAAAGUGUAGCCUACUGAGAUAUAGUUAACUGUUUUCAAAUUUCAGUGAGCCAGAGUUUCAGAGUUCUAAUAAAAGACUG